RNAcentral lists this long non-coding RNA (323 nucleotides) under Phoenix dactylifera (date palm). RNAcentral's name for it is "long non-coding RNA (PDAC_LNC001806)". Lineage: Eukaryota; Viridiplantae; Streptophyta; Magnoliopsida; Arecales; Arecaceae. The record is from RNAcentral.
UCUUUUUGGAAAUCGAGGUCCUUGCGUAGAGGGAAAGGAGAUCUACAUUUUUCCCUUCAGCUGGAAGUGCAACUGGGAUCCCCCUCCUCCUCGAAUCCCCUUUCUUUUCUUCUUUCUUCUUCUUCUUCUUCUCCUUUUCUUUCCUUCUUUUCCUCCACGCCUGAGAACCCCCUCUCUGUGACUCUCUCUCGGUUUCAUUCCCGUGAGCCACCAACCACCCCAUUUAAAUCACAUCAAAGCACUAUUCACCUUUGUUUAAUAUUAUUAAAUUUCCAUUUUGCCCCUAACACUUCAACAUAUCUACAACUAUGCCAUUAUCUUUU